CAGCCGCCGCGGGAAUACGUAGGGUGCGAGCGUUAAUCGGAAUUACUGGGCGUAAAGCGUGCGCAGGCGGUUGUGUAAGACAGGUGUGAAAUCCCCGGGCUUAACCUGGGAACUGCGCUUGUGACUGCACAGCUAGAGUAUGGCAGAGGGGGGUGGAAUUCCGCGUGUAGCAGUGAAAUGCGUAGGUAUGCGGAGGAACACCGAUGGCGAAGGCAAUCCCCUGGGCCUGCACUGACGCUCAUGCACGAAAGCGUGGGGAGCAAACAGGAUUAGAUACCCCCGUAGUCCCUGUCUCUUAUAC
This 301-nucleotide ribosomal RNA is filed under the name uncultured bacterium. Its description in RNAcentral is "partial 16S ribosomal RNA". It matches the Rfam family "Bacterial small subunit ribosomal RNA", at positions 509 to 807 of the family's 1533-position model. The record is from RNAcentral.